Lemur catta (Ring-tailed lemur) is the source of this 3164-nucleotide RNA transcript. RefSeq lists it as uncharacterized. The transcript is spliced from 5 exons. NCBI's taxonomy places the organism in Eukaryota, Metazoa, Chordata, Mammalia, Primates, Lemuridae. The record is from RefSeq and is a predicted model, not a curated record.
CUCGGCAUGUCUGGCUUAGAGAUCUAUUCAACUGAUAGCAGCCGCCUCUUCUGGGGAGAACAGAUCUUUCAGAAAGCCCUGACUGUGCUGCUAAUCAAACACAACAUUGUUCUCAGAGAGGAGAGAGAAUGGAAAGGUUUGUUUCAGAGUCACAACUUUUUUUUUUUUUUUUUAAGAGGCACCCGAGUUGUUUUAACAAGUUGCUACAAAACUUGGGCUUCCUGAGGUGAGGCUGUUUUGCACAGUGCAUGCUCUGUACAAAAUCCAGAGAGGGAGGGAGCAGAGAAAGUUAGAGUCAUUAAAAAAAAAAUAGCCCCGGGCACUUGAUGGCUGGAAAUGAUGUCAGUCGCAGCCACUCCUCUGUUAGAACUCCAACCAAACAAUGCGCAGGCAGUCCCCAGCAGCUGCCCUCCAAAUGUCAGCGCCAGCCCGGUCAAAAGCGCGGAGACCUCCCCAGCUGAAGGACUCUGUGCUGUGCCUUUCGCGCCCACAUUUUCCCCAAGCACUCCCAGGAACCUGGCAACAGCCAGCUGCAUCUCCCCCACCACCCCCACACUCCUCCGUCCCUACCUCCCAACCCAACCCAACCCAACCCAAAGUCUGAAACAACAAAGCGUGGCCGCCGGCAAUCCCGCUCUCGAGCGUCCCCCUGUGGCCAAGAUCGGGACGUCAUUUGUGUGCUUUGUAACCCACCGCUCAGCUGCAAGGGCUUUUCGGAUUAGAAAGCUAAUAUACCUGGCACACCCAGCAGGGUCUGGGGCGGCACCCCUCAAUCGACUACUUGAACAUGUCUGCAGGGAGAGGUAGUAUUGUCACGCUGCAAAUAGCUCCAAGAUCACCGGAUUUGCGGAUGAAGGAAUGAUGCCCUACCCCAACCUUCAGAGGUAUCUCGGAUUCUGGAACUCUGUCCCAAGCAAACUCACUUGUGGAGGGUGCCAUCUGGGUGACAGUGGAGUGGUGACAGCGUGCAAAACAGCAAGAAGUUUUCCAGGGAGUGAGAAAAACAGCCCCGCCAGCCCCCCUCCGCCCAUCUGCCCGGGUUAACAGGAUUGCUGACAGGUCGGGCCCACGUGAUAGUCAAGAAAAGAGGCUCAAGCUGAUGAAAAUCCAAGAAAUCUUCUUAGGAGCCUUCCUUUCGAAAUGUAAAUGACUGAGUCAUUGCUUUGCUAAGGAGGGAAGAAAGUUAACACUCACACCAAGAGACUCAUUCACUGCUGUUAGCUCCGGCAGUUGGAUAAAAAGUUUUAGCAGAAGCAGCAACAAAUCUGCUUUACAUACUGGCGCAGUAAGGGAAUUCCUCUCUUUCGGGAUGAAUGCCAUCCACACAAAAGAGCUCCUGUUGACAUCUCAUUUACAAUCUCCCCCAGGACACAGACAAGACUGUUUCAAUAAACCAGGCUCAGAAACACCUAUUGUUCAAAAUCUUCAACUAGCAACAGGCUGCCACCACUCCCUAUGGCUUUGCAAAAUAAAAGAUUUAGAAGGAGAAGGAUGGGGACAGUGGAAACUCUGAAGGGGCAGGGAAAAAGUCCCUUUGACCCGAUGCUGUCAGAAAGCAUGCAUGAAGAAUAAAGUUAAUGCCAUUUCCUUUUUUAUAAGAAGUGCCUAAGAAAUGCCUGGGACGGUCCUGAACUAGUGAUUGUGAAUUCCAAAUUUGAUGCCAGUUUCCUGUGUUAAGAAGCUAACUUCUGCCAACACAGUUGCUAAGUGAAAAGCCGAGGCCAUACUUAACCUAUUCCCAGCUCACCAAAGCCUAAUGUCACCCACAGCAAAACACCAGGCCCUGGUGCCUUGACCAGCAGCGACUCUUGAGAAGAAAGCUGCAGCUCACCAGGAUGGAAUCUGACCUCGGCUCUUGUAACCUUUCGCCUUCCUUCCCCUUCUAGAACUACACUAAAGAAUCCCCUGCCAUCAAGGACAGACUUUUGCGUUAUUUACUUACGUUACAGAGUUUGGGUUUAGAUAACCUGUUAUGUGAAGUAGAAAGUCAAGAAACAGAAACAUGCACAACAGUAAUGAUACCUAUUUUUUCCUAAUGUAAUACGCUGUACUCUAUAAGCCACCAUAUGCGUUUGCUUUAUUUUUUGCUUUUUUUCCCUCUAGCCUGAGCAGCAGUAGUUUUGCCUUUGACAGAAAAUUUCACAGAAAAUUAUGGUAAAAACAAAUUGAAUUUGAAGUUCAUUCUUUAAAAAAAGUCCCUUGCUACUGCAAAUCUAUACCAAACCACUACGUGCAUGGGGACCCAACUUUGAUACGAAGUGUGAUAUUGAAACAGCCAGGUGAUGGGAUUAUGGCUGAUUUUUGCUUUAUUCCUAGGACUUCUGAAUUUUCCAAUUAAAAAAAAUAAACUACAGACUUUCGUAAUCAUAAAAAAGUAAAAUGCCAUAAUAAAAAUUAGAUACACUACUAUAACAUUUCUUUACUGCUAUGACAUCUGACUAAAUGAUAUGAUUUUAUUUUUACCCUAUUAUGUUACUGUAUAUUUUUUCCUGUUUGAACUGUUUGUAUUUGAAGGAAAUUUUAUGUGAUUACCACAUAAAAAAAGAAUAAUAAAAAGCUCUUAACAUUGUUCAAUAUUUCUCUGUCUUUAAAAGCUGAAGGAACACUGAGCAGACACAGCUGAAUAUUGGCAUGUAAGUUUUCUACAACUGCCCUGCGCAUAUUUUAUUUACCUCUCCUGACACUUUCAUAGCUAACUAUUUAACUUUUGCAUGCCUUUAAGCCUAUGGCAAAAAUCUGUUUGCUUCCUCAUAACUGUCCUUCCUGUCCUUGCUAAUAGGACCCCAAUGCUACCGAUCUUUUCCAAGCAAUCUUGACUCUUAGGGGAGGCUGGGCCUCCCCGAGGCUUGGAGGCUGAAUCUUCACUGGUUGACAAGGUAAAGAGAUGAGAAGAGAAGUCUGAUGGGAAUGCUUUCUGGAAAGUUUACCUCACUAUUUAAAGCCACACAAGGGACAUCCCUUUUCUUCUGGGCAUUGUCAUCUGUAAGGGAUACAGGAACUGUGGCUGCCAUAUGGGGACCACAAGAAGUAUCGGCCUGAGAAGACCAGCCCACGCUGAGGAUGACGGGUAAAAAGAUGGCCAGAAUCUGGUCUUGGUAAAUUCAUUGGCUGCCCUACCUCUGGGCUUGCUAUGACUUGAGAAAAUAAAUUCCUUUACCAUCUAA